RNAcentral lists this ribosomal RNA (253 nucleotides) under uncultured bacterium. RNAcentral's name for it is "partial 16S ribosomal RNA". It matches the Rfam family "Bacterial small subunit ribosomal RNA", at positions 524 to 776 of the family's 1533-position model. The record is from RNAcentral.
UACGUAGGGUGCAGGCGUUAAUCGGAAUUACUGGGCGUAAAGGGCGCGUAGGCGGCCUGUUAAGUCGAACGUGAAAUCCCUGGGCUCAACCCAGGAACUGCGUCCGAUACUGGCAGGCUUGAAUCCGGGAGAGGGAUGUGGAAUUCCAGGUGUAGCGGUGAAAUGCGUAGAUAUCUGGAGGAACACCGGUGGCGAAGGCGGCAUCCUGGACCGGUAUUGACGCUGAGGCGCGAAAGCCAGGGGAGCAAACGGG